AUCCUGAUUCCCUCAGUGGCUUGCUCCUGCAUUAGUAAUGUAAAACUGGCCCAAAGUGUUUAAAAUGGUCAGAAGUUGAUCUUGAUCAGUUCAAAUAUUUUUUGACAAAGAAAAUCAGUUCUGGUCAGUUCAAAUCUAUUUUGACCAGUUUAAACCAAUUCUGCAGAACUUGAGCCUGAGGUCGGUAGGAAGAUGGCUGAAGACUAUGCUGAUUCAAGCCAAAGCAAGGAAUCAGGUGGUGAGGUCUCUCAGCCUUCAGAUGGGUUCAGAGGUGCUGUCCAGGAUUCAGGGGCUUGGGAAGAGAUACAUAAAUAGAAUGCUCCACAAAAUGUGAAGAUAUUAGUGUCCCCUGUGAAUGCUCAACAAAGAGUGAUAUGAGCAGAGGAGGAUUUGAAUAAUCAGGAUGGGCUGCAAAGGAGAUUCUUCCAGGAUUUCAGAAGUUGGAAGGGAGGCAGAAUCCAUUUGGUAACAUAAACACAUUAUUGCUUAUCUGCUGACUCAACUUGGGAUGAAGCAGCAGCUGAGCCAGUUGUGUGUGUACAGCUCAAGGACAAAGGUCCUUAGCUUCUGCAGAAUACUAUCAUCACCAAG
This 591-nucleotide long non-coding RNA is filed under the name Pongo abelii (Sumatran orangutan). Its description in RNAcentral is "lincRNA". Lineage: Eukaryota; Metazoa; Chordata; Mammalia; Primates; Hominidae. The record is from RNAcentral.